RNAcentral lists this ribosomal RNA (400 nucleotides) under uncultured bacterium. Its description in RNAcentral is "bacterial SSU rRNA". It matches the Rfam family "Bacterial small subunit ribosomal RNA", at positions 355 to 747 of the family's 1533-position model. The record is from RNAcentral.
UGGGGAAUAUUGGACAAUGGGGGCAACCCUGAUCCAGCCAUGCCGCGUGUGCGAAGAAGGCCUUCGGGUUGUAAAGCACUUUCAGCGGGGAGGAAGGCUCAAUGGUUAAUAGUCAUUGGGAUUGACGCUACCCGCAGAAGAAGCACCGGCAAACUCCGUGCCAGCAGCCGCGGUAAUACGGAGGGUGCGAGCGUUAAUCGGAAUUACUGGGCGUAAAGCGCACGUAGGCGGUUUGAUAAGCGAGAUGUGAAAUCCCUGGGCUUAACCUGGGAAUGGCAUUUCGAACUGUCAGGCUAGAGUACGGUAGAGGAUGGUGGAAUUCCCGGUGUAGCGGUGAAAUGCGUAGAUAUCGGGAGGAACAUCGGUGGCGAAGGCGGCCAUCUGGACUGAUACUGACGCU